Oncorhynchus gorbuscha (pink salmon) is the source of this 368-nucleotide long non-coding RNA. RefSeq lists it as uncharacterized. NCBI's taxonomy places the organism in Eukaryota, Metazoa, Chordata, Actinopteri, Salmoniformes, Salmonidae. The transcript is spliced from 3 exons. The record is from RefSeq and is a predicted model, not a curated record.
UACAGAGUAAUGACGGAGAAGAACGGCUAGCUGUGGUCAGACUGCUGGCCAAGCUGUUUGGAGCCAAAGACUCAGAACUGGCCACUCAGAACAGACCGCUGUGGCAAUGCUUCCUGGGACGGUUCAAUGACAUCCAUGUCCCAGUGAGGCUCGAGUCGGUCAAGUUCGCUUCCCACUGUCUGAUGAACCAUCCAGACCUGGCCAGAGACCUCACAGAGUUCCUGAAAGUGCGAUCACAUGACCCAGAGGAGGCGAUCCGACACGACGUCAUCGUAACGAUCAUCAACGCGGGGAAGAAAGACCUGAACCUGGUUAACGACCAACUGCUGGGCUUCGUUAGGGAGAGGACCCUGGACAAGAGGGUGCGA